This 1056-nucleotide ribosomal RNA is filed under the name uncultured bacterium. RNAcentral describes it as "bacterial SSU rRNA". It matches the Rfam family "Bacterial small subunit ribosomal RNA", at positions 9 to 1104 of the family's 1533-position model. The record is from RNAcentral.
GAGUUUGAUCCUGGCUCAGAUUGAACGCUGGCGGCAUGGCUAAAACAUGCAAGUCGAACGAUGUAGCAAUACAUAGUGGCGAAAGGGCGAGGAAUAGAUUCCUACAUACCUCGAGGUCGGGGAUACCCCGGAGAAAUCCGGAUCAAUACCCGAUGUGGUCGAGAGAUCAAAGGUUUACCGCCUUGAGAGUGGGGAAUCUCCUAUCAGCUAGUUGGUGAGGUAAUGGCUCACCAAGGCGAAGACGGGUAGCGGGUGUGAGAGCACGGCCCGCCGCAUCGAGACUGAGACACUGCUCGGACUCCUACGGGAGGCUGCAGUAACGAAUCUUCCGCAAUGCGCGAAAGCGUGACGGGGCAAUGCCGCGUGCAGGAUGAAGCCCCUCGGGGUGUAAACUGCUGUCAGGGUGCAGGAAAGACAUGACCAUACCCAAAGGAAGCACCGGCUAACUCUGUGCCAGCAGCCGCGGUAAUACAGAGGGUGCGAGCGUUAAUCGGAAUCACUGGGCUUAAAGGGUGCGUAGGCGGAUGCAUAGGCGCUUUGUGAAAUCCCACGGCUCAACCGUGGAAUUGCUUGGCGAACCAUGCGUCUUGAGGUUGGUAGAGGUCACUGGAACGAUAGGUGGAGCGGUGAAAUGCGUAGAUAUCUAUCGGAACGCCAAAGGUGAAGACAGGUGACUGGGCCAAAUCUGACGCUGAGGCACGAAAGCGUGGGGAGCAAACGGGAUUAGAUACCCCGGUAGUCCACGCUGUAAACGAUGCAUACUUGGUCGGAGUGGUUUGACUCCAUUCCGGCCGUAGGAAAACUGAUGAGUAUGCCGCCUGGGGAGUACGGUCGCAAGAUUAAAACUCAAAGGAAUUGACGGGGGCUCACACAAGCGGUGGAGCAUGUGGCUUAAUUCGAAGCAACGCGAAGAACCUUACCUAGGCUUGACAUUCACGGAUAAACUCUAUGAAAGUAGAGGUACACCCGCAAGGGCGGAACGUGAACAGGUGCUGCAUGGCUGUCGUCAGCUCGUGCUGUGAAGUGUCGGGUUAAGUCCCGCAACGAGCGCAACCC